RNAcentral lists this ribosomal RNA (253 nucleotides) under uncultured bacterium. RNAcentral describes it as "partial 16S ribosomal RNA". It matches the Rfam family "Bacterial small subunit ribosomal RNA", at positions 524 to 776 of the family's 1533-position model. The record is from RNAcentral.
UACAGAGGGUGCGAGCGUUGUCCGGAAUCACUGGGCGUAAAGGGCGCGUAGGCGGCUCGGUCAGCGUGCGGUGAAAGCCCGGGGCUCAACCCCGGGUCGGCCGUGCGAACUGCGGAGCUGGAGCACUGUAGAGGCAGGUGGAAUUCCGGGUGUAGCGGUGGAAUGCGUAGAGAUCCGGAAGAACACCGGUGGCGAAGGCGGCUGCCUGGACGAAUACUGACACUGAGGCACGAAAGCAUGGGGAGCAAACAGG